Molecule: non-coding RNA, 30 nt
Filed under: Homo sapiens (human)
Lineage: Eukaryota; Metazoa; Chordata; Mammalia; Primates; Hominidae
Source: RNAcentral
UCACUGUGGAAUCCAGGAAGAGUGCUGUUA